AGUGCUCAGAAGCAUCGCCGCCCGUCACAGCAGCAGCAGCAAGAAAAACGUGUCACCGUGCUACAGUAACCGUGCAGCAGCCGUGUUCUGUUUUCACUCAAUUUGAACGGGGAAUCAAAAAAAGUGACCAAAUCAGAAAGAUGGCCACAUCGAGCAGUGCGAAAAUUACGGAAAUCUUGCUGGAAACGGAGCGAGUCGGCGAUCGCGUGCUGGCGCUGAAGCAGGAGUUGAUAAAUCUGGACCGGCGACGGCAGGAAACGCGCGAGGCGAUCCGAACCGUUCAGAAGAACUUCCCGGACCGGGACGGGCAGAAGGUGUGGAUCACGGUCGGUUCCAUGUUGAUGAAGAUGCCCCGCGGGAAGGCGCUGGAGCUGCUCGGGAAGGAUGCGGCCCAGAUUGAGGCGGAGAUUGGCACGCUGAGGACGGAGCAGAAGGUGCUGGUCAGCAGGCAGCGCGACCUGGAGCACGAUACGCCGCUGCGGGGGUUCGACUUGAAGCCGCUGAGUCGGGCGGAACUGGGCGCGAUCGGGGCCGCCGUGCCGCGGGUUUAAAGAUCUCUCAAUCCAAUUACUCGUUAGGGUUUAAGUCUAUUUUUAAGUAAUAAACAUAAUGUUCCGACUACCGGCAGUGAUGCGUUGUGCGGCGGCCCGCCAGGUAGCUUACCGUGGCUAUGCCAAGGACGUUCGCUUUGGGCCGGAGGUGCGCGCCCUGAUGUUGCAGGGAGUGGACGUGCUGGCCGAUGCCGUGG
Culex pipiens pallens (northern house mosquito) is the source of this 748-nucleotide RNA transcript. RefSeq lists it as uncharacterized. NCBI's taxonomy places the organism in Eukaryota, Metazoa, Arthropoda, Insecta, Diptera, Culicidae. The transcript is spliced from 3 exons. The record is from RefSeq and is a predicted model, not a curated record.